RNAcentral lists this ribosomal RNA (253 nucleotides) under uncultured bacterium. RNAcentral describes it as "partial 16S ribosomal RNA". It matches the Rfam family "Bacterial small subunit ribosomal RNA", at positions 524 to 776 of the family's 1533-position model. The record is from RNAcentral.
GACAGAGGUGGCAAGCGUUGUUCGGAAUUACUGGGCUUAAAGGGCGCGUAGGUGUCCCGACAAGUCAGAUGUGGAAUCUUUCCGCUUAACGGGAAAAUUGCAUUUGAAACUAUCGGGAUUGAGUCAGACAGGGGAUGGCGGAAUUCCAGGUGUAGCGGUGAAAUGCGUAGAUAUCUGGAGGAAGGCCGGUGGCGAAGGCGGCCAUCUGGGUCUGAACUGACACUGAGGCGCGAAAGCGUGGGGAGCAAACAGG